CUAGUUGGUGAGGUAACGGCUCACCAAGGCAACGAUGCGUAGCCGACCUGAGAGGGUGAUCGGCCACACUGGGACUGAGACACGGCCCAGACUCCUACGGGAGGCAGCAGUAGGGAAUCUUCCGCAAUGGACGAAAGUCUGACGGAGCAACGCCGCGUGAGUGAUGAAGGCUUUCGGGUCGUAAAACUCUGUUGUUAGGGAAGA
RNAcentral lists this ribosomal RNA (204 nucleotides) under Bacillus anthracis (anthrax bacterium). Its description in RNAcentral is "partial 16S ribosomal RNA". It matches the Rfam family "Bacterial small subunit ribosomal RNA", at positions 245 to 448 of the family's 1533-position model. The record is from RNAcentral. Lineage: Bacteria; Bacillati; Bacillota; Bacilli; Caryophanales; Bacillaceae.